RNAcentral lists this ribosomal RNA (1180 nucleotides) under Bacillus cereus. Its description in RNAcentral is "bacterial SSU rRNA". It matches the Rfam family "Bacterial small subunit ribosomal RNA", at positions 138 to 1293 of the family's 1533-position model. Lineage: Bacteria; Bacillati; Bacillota; Bacilli; Caryophanales; Bacillaceae. The record is from RNAcentral.
CUGGGAUAACUCCGGGAAACCGGGGCUAAUACCGGAUAACAUUUUGAACCGCAUGGUUCGAAAUUGAAAGGCGGCUUCGGCUGUCACUUAUGGAUGGACCCGCGUCGCAUUAGCUAGUUGGUGAGGUAACGGCUCACCAAGGCAACGAUGCGUAGCCGACCUGAGAGGGUGAUCGGCCACACUGGGACUGAGACACGGCCCAGACUCCUACGGGAGGCAGCAGUAGGGAAUCUUCCGCAAUGGACGAAUUUAGUCUGACGGAGUCAACGGGCACGCGUGAGUGAUGAAGGCUUUCGGGUCGUAAAACUCUGUUGUUAGGGAAGAACAAGUGCUAGUUGAAUAAGCUGGCACCUUGACGGUACCUAACCAGAAAGCCACGGCUAACUACGUGCCAGCAGCCGCGGUAAUACGUAGGUGGCAAGCGUUAUCCGGAAUUAUUGGGCGUAAAGCGCGCGCAGGUGGUUUCUUAAGUCUGAUGUGAUUGACGCCCACGGCUCAACCGUGGAGGGUCAUUGGAAACUGGGAGACUUGAGUGCAGAAGAGGAAAGUGGAAUUCCAUGUGUAGCGGUGAAAUGCGUAGAGAUAUGGAGCAACACCAGUGGCGAAGGCGACUUUCUGGUCUGUAACUGACACUGAGGCGCGAAAGCGUGGGGAGCCAACAGGAUUAGAUACCCUGGUAGUUCACGCCGUAAACGAUGAGUGCUAAGUGUUAGAGGGUUUCCGCCCUUUAGUGCUGAAGUUAACGCAUUAAGCAMUCCGCCUGGGGAGUACGGCCGCAAGGCUGAAACUCAAAGGAAUUGACGGGGGCCCGCACAAGCGGUGGAGCAUGUGGUUUAAUUCGAAGCAACGCGAAGAACCUUACCAGGUCUUGACAUCCUUUGACAACCCUAGAGAUAGGGCUUCUCCUUCGGGAGCAGAGUGACAGGUGGUGCAUGGUUGUUGUCAGCUCGUGUCGUGAGAUGUUGGGUUAAGUCCCGCAACGAGCGCAACCCUUGAUUUUAGUUGCCAUCAUUAAGUUGGGCACUUCUAAGGUGACUGCCGGUGACAAACCGGAGGAAGGUGGGGAUGACGUCAAAUCAUCAUGCCCCUUAUGACCUGGGCUACCCACGUGCUACAAUGGACGGUACAAAGAGCUGCAAGACCGCGAGGGGGAGCUAAUUUCAUAAAACCGUUUUCAGUU